RNAcentral lists this ribosomal RNA (492 nucleotides) under uncultured bacterium. RNAcentral's name for it is "partial 16S ribosomal RNA". It matches the Rfam family "Bacterial small subunit ribosomal RNA", at positions 28 to 507 of the family's 1533-position model. The record is from RNAcentral.
GAUGAACGCUAGCUACAGGCUUAACACAUGCAAGUCGAGGGGAAACGACAUCGCAAGCUUGCUUUUGAUGGGCGUCGACCGGCGCACGGGUGAGUAACGCGUAUCCAACCUGCCCAUCACUUGGGAAUAACCUUGCGAAAGUAAGACUAAUACCCAAUGACAUCCCCCGAAGACAUCUGAAUGGGAUUAAAGAUUUAUCGGUGAUGGAUGGGGAUGCGUCUGAUUAGCUUGUUGGCGGGGUAACGGCCCACCAAGGCAACGAUCAGUAGGGGUUCUGAGAGGAAGGUCCCCCACAGUGGAACUGAGACACGGUCCAAACUCCUACGGGAGGCAGCAGUGAGGAAUAUUGGUCAAUGGGCGAGAGCCUGAACCAGCCAAGUAGCGUGCAGGAUGACGGCCCUAUGGGUUGUAAACUGCUUUUAGAAGGGAAUAAAGUGGGUCUCGUGAGACUUUUUGCAUGUACCUGAUGAAUAAGGACCGGCUAAUUCCGUG